Molecule: long non-coding RNA, 394 nt
Filed under: Helianthus annuus (common sunflower)
Lineage: Eukaryota; Viridiplantae; Streptophyta; Magnoliopsida; Asterales; Asteraceae
Description: hypothetical non coding rna
Source: RNAcentral
AUGGUACCAGAAGUUAGAAAGAGAAAGGUUUAUUUAUUUGAUUAAACAAGGUAAAAUUACCAAAUUACCCUCAUAAGGUUUUCAAACAUAAAGUAAGUUUUUUAUAUUAUUUUAAUGUAAAGGGCACAUUUCGUAUAAACAUAAAGGACGUCUUUUAUAAUUUAGUCAAUAAUUUAGGUAACUAGUUAGAACAAAUUUGUUAAACUCUUCUUUAUAUAACAUAAUAUAAAGACAUCCACCUAUAUUUUACAUCAUAUAAGUAGCCUAUUUCCAUUUUUAUUGAUUACUUAUAAAUUCGUUAUGAUUAUGUUAAUACUCGUUCUGUUCGCUUCACGUACGCUUUGUAAGUUACAUACAAUAAGUUUAAAGUGUACACAAAUAUAAUUUUUGAGGC